UGGAAACUCUGCCACAUGCCUGUUGA
RNAcentral lists this small RNA (26 nucleotides) under Bombyx mori (domestic silkworm). RNAcentral's name for it is "ovarian small RNA-34373". The record is from RNAcentral. Lineage: Eukaryota; Metazoa; Arthropoda; Insecta; Lepidoptera; Bombycidae.